Oncorhynchus tshawytscha (Chinook salmon) is the source of this 3965-nucleotide long non-coding RNA. NCBI's taxonomy places the organism in Eukaryota, Metazoa, Chordata, Actinopteri, Salmoniformes, Salmonidae. The record is from Ensembl.
GGAAAAAUGACUUAAUCCAUUUUAGAAUAAGGCUGUAUCGUACCAAAUGUGGAAAAAGUGAAGGGGUCUGAAUACUUUCCGAAUGCACUACACACACACACACACACACACACACACACACACACACACACACACACAGCAGCUUGUGUUGCUGUACCCACCUCUGUGUGUUUGUGCCUUAUUACUGUUCACACACAGACAGUUUCAGUGUUUGUGUCAAUAUUUAAUGAGUGACGGGAGUCUGGGGACCCCACAGCUGUCAGGAGUCUGUCUGGAACUACCACCUGUUCCCAAAUCCCCAAACACACACACUAACUAAUAAACCAUGUUCUCUCAACACUGUGGGGAAUUGGGGAUGCUGUGGCAACAUUGUCCAUGCUACAUACCUGUAAACAGGUGUGUGGUAUAGACUGGUCCAAAUUUGAUUCACAAACUAUGGAUGUCAUUGAAUUCUAUUGUGAUGGAGUUGAAAAACUGCAUACAGAACAACUGGAUCCAGUGAGUGAUUCUUAGUGAUUUUCCUGAUUGAGCUGCACUCGCUGGUCUGUUUCUAUGCCGACCAUCCUUUCGAGCCACCUUGUGUAUCAGAAUGAGAUGUACUGUAACCACACGAAUACAAAACCAAGGAGCCCAAAAUGUACCUUUAAAAAAAAAAAAAGAACUUUAAUUCAAACAAAAAAAGAUUAUAAAACAGUGAUUUUAGUUACAUAAAUAAAUUGAUAUCGGUGUAUCAAAUCUUCAUUUCAUAAGCAUGUAUACAUGGAUCAUUAUAAUAAAUAAAGUGGGAAAACAGAAGAUUCCAUUUCCUACAGGAACAGAAGAAAAGAAACAGCUAGAGAAAGAGGAAAUGCAUUCAUUAGAGGACGAGACACACAGGACAAAGUUUUCCACCAAACACACGAGGAAAUGCUUCGUUAAAAGCACAGUGUUUACAGAGCCAUUCAGUUACUAAUUAAGGACACUAAAGCUGGGACCAAGGUGGCUUGGCUUUCACUUCUUGGAACAUGUUUGGUUGUUAGAACUCCUGUUUGGUUACUUCAAAACAAGGCAAGAGAGAAGGCUGUUUAUUCUUUAAAGAACAAAAGAGAAAGCACUUCAACAAAAACCAGAAAAAUAAAGAAACAAGACAAGUUAUUAGUACAAUAGCCGGACCUCGUACAGGAAGACACACACACUGGUCUGGUCUGUGGCGUGUUCAGAAGCAAGCGGACAUUUCAGCGGAACACAACUCUUGUCCUGAAGGGUGACAGCCCUGCUGGUUUUAAUAGAUCAGUUAGUAUCACUGACUGACCUAGCUUUCACACCACUGAUUAGCCAGAUAUAACUCUAAAGUCUGGGAUUACCAGAUAAGGAAGAGAACCAGCAGACCCCGUGGCCUUCGAGGACCAGAGUUAUACACAACUGGAUGUUGGUCAUUUCUCAACAGCUGAUCAGUGUUAUGAUGCCACGUAAUGAAAAAUCAAUGCUCGGGUUAUCAUAUGACAUUUCAAUGGAAUACUGUACAUCAGUCAAAUACAUACAUCUGUUCAUUGUGAAAAGUAACCCUAGAGAGAACAAGAUAAUAUUUUCACUGUGCUCCAAUACCUUGAAGACACCAAAUCAAACUGUUGAUAGCAGUUCAAUAAUCUGAACCAAUGUCUUAGUACUGACACUACCCUUGUGAGCCUACAGUAACCCUCCAUUAGCAAGGCCAAUGUGAUGUGUUCUGUGGUAAAAAAAAAUGACAUUGAAAGAAAAAACACUAAGAGAAAAAGAGCAAGCUACAGCGGCUUCAAGUAUUUCACAUCACAUAGAAUACUCUGUAUAAAUUAGUUAACAUAUACUUUUGAAUCCUCCAUACACAGUACAAUACAUGCUUGCUCAUAUCAUUGUUUCCUGUACUCAUUCCUUCUUCCUGUUAGUUUUAGAGAAAUCCCUGAGAACGUCUUUUGACAGUUGCUGAAGGUUAUACACAUAGAAUAGGCCUAUUAAAACUGUAUUAUAAUGGAAUUCUAAUUAUCCUAUGGUUCCACAUGCACAGAAGUAUUGACACUGGCCCAUUCUGGAGCUACACUCACCGAUUCUACCGAUGUGGGAUCCUAAUUUGAGCCUGUUUGCUACAGUAGGAAAAUAAUCCUGCAGCAACAGGAAAUUUGAACUAUGUAUAAAAUAAAUUGACAUUUUUGUAGGAGUUGAUACAUUUUUCGUAAGGGAAAAUCAAGUCAGAAAUUGUGGAAAAGUGGAAAUGAAACCACUUUAAACAUCAAAAUAAAAGUAAAACAUUCUGUAUUGCAGGUGAUCCAAUUAAGAUCCUACAUCUGUACAACUAGAACCCUGGUAACUUUGGCACUGUAAUUAGUUACCCAGCCUGUAUUCUUGUGAACACAGAAACAGCCAGGUCACCAGGUUAGUUUUGUGAAUACAUAAACAGUCAGGUAACCCGGCUAGUCUUGUGAAGGUUAGUCUUGUGAAUACAGAAACAGUCAGGUAACCCGGCUAGUCUUGUGAAGGUUAGUUUUGUGAAUACAGAAACAGUCAGGUAACCCGGUUAGUCUUGUGAAUACAGAAACAGUCAGGUAACCCAGCUAGUCUUGUGAAGGUUAGUCUUGUGAAUACAGAAACAGUCAGGUAACCCGGUUAGUCUUGUGAAUACAGAAACAGUCAGGUAACCCGGCUAGUCUUGUGAAGGUUAGUCUUGUGAAUACAGAAACAGUCAGGUAACCCGGCUAGUCUUGUGAAGGUUAGUUUUGUGAAUACAUAAACAGUCAGGUAACCCGGCUAGUCUUGUGAAGGUUAGUCUUGUGAAUACAGAAACAGUCAGGUAACCCGGCUAGUCUUCUGAAGGUUAGUCUUGUGAAGGUUAGUCUUGUGAAGGUUGGUCUUGUGAAUACAGAAACAGUCAGGUAACCCGGCUAGUCUCCAGCAACUGUUCAUCCUAACACUUGAACCAGUAACUAACCCACAAUUACAGGUUUGUUGGUUUUAAGUACAUUGUGCACUGUAAAAAAAAUAUAUAUAUAUAUCCUGUUGUUUUUACGGUAACUUACUGGCAGCCAGUUAGUUACCUGUAAGUUACUGUAAAAAAGGUUACCAUAAAUUCCAAAGAAACUUUUGUUUAACGGUACAUUACUCUAAACUUUACUGUAAACAUGAUUUGUUGUUACAGUGUGGGAUAUUUCUGGCAUAAUACACCAAAUGCUGGUACUCUUGAUAAUACUCCAUAUCCUCAUCUUAUGGCCCAUGUGCCAUUACUGUAGUCCUGCAUUGUUGUCCUUAAUCUAACACAGAUAGUUAUGAUUACUGCAUCUGAAACAACACCAGUCUGUUAAGACUAUUUUUCCAAAACUAGAAUCUAACUAAUACCUAUGACACAGAGAAAACACAAGUGACGAGUCAACAGAAAUAUUAAAUGGUGGUUUUCUCAUGGAGCCGAGCUGUACAGUGCUUCCAAUAGUCAGGUCUGUGUAGUUUUAAAGCCAUAGUGUCUCUUUGAGGCUGCCAAUGUGUUUUUACACAAGUGCUUUCGGACAAGGGACUUUAAGCCACUUGACAUAUACUCAGUAUAAAACCAAGAUAUAAAACAGGGGGAUGCUAAUAAUAAUAAACGUUUCUGUUAUCUGCUUUUUCCUCUCGCACACACAUGGAAAAACACACGCAACAUUUCCUCUUCUGAAAAUAAAACACACAUAGUACUGUACACAGUAAUAAUAAUAAUGGUAAUGUUUAUAACAAUAACAGCAAGAAUGAUAAUACUGUGUGGCUCUGGAAUUAUUUUUUUCCUUCUUCUUUUGCUUUGUCCUCCAACUCCUUACUUGUCCAUGUUUAAGUCCAAAGAAGUUCAAAAGGCAGACUGAAGUUAAUAUAAAAGUACUAGGAGCCGACCCCGGUCAGCCGAACCUCCCCCUCGGGGCCGACCCCGGUCAGCCGAACCUCCCCCCCGGGGCCGACCCCGGUCAGCCGAACCUCCCCCCCGGGGCCGACCCCGG